RNAcentral lists this ribosomal RNA (253 nucleotides) under uncultured bacterium. RNAcentral describes it as "partial 16S ribosomal RNA". It matches the Rfam family "Bacterial small subunit ribosomal RNA", at positions 524 to 776 of the family's 1533-position model. The record is from RNAcentral.
GACAUAGGUCGCGAACGUUAUCCGGAAUUACUGGGCGUAAAGGGCGCGUAGGUGGCCAACUAAGUCAGACGUGAAAUCCCUCGGCUUAACCGGGGAACUGCGUCUGAUACUGGAUGGCUUGAGUUUGGGAGAGGGACGCGGAAUUCCAGGUGUAGCGGUGAAAUGCGUAGAUAUCUGGAGGAACACCGGUGGCGAAGGCGGCGUCCUGGACCAAUACUGACACUGAAACGCGAAAGCCAGGGGAGCAAACGGG